This 3600-nucleotide long non-coding RNA is filed under the name Homo sapiens (human). Its description in RNAcentral is "HSALNT0300665". The record is from RNAcentral. Lineage: Eukaryota; Metazoa; Chordata; Mammalia; Primates; Hominidae.
AUUUUCUAUUUGUAUCAUCACCAUCUGCAAAUAAUCACAGUAUUAUUUAUUCCGUUUAAAUUAUUUUUAAUUGAAUACUUUCAUGCUAACUUGGAACUCUGGCCCAAAAUUAAAUAAAACAAGCAAUAACACAUAUUUUUGUCUUUUCUCUCUCACAGGAAAAAUUAUUAGCAUUUUAACAGUAAGUAUAUUUGCUAUAGUUUUUAAUAAAUUUAUCAGAUUAAGGAAGUUUCUCUAGGAUUGAAAAUUUUUUAUCGUAAAUAGAUCUUCAAUAUUAUUUGUCCUUUCUGUAUGCACUGAUUUAAGGUUUUGAUGUUUUUAUCUUUAAUCUGUUAAUGUGGAGAAUGAUUUUUUUUUUUUUGAGGACUAAAUAGAAUCUUUAGGGAUGGGGGAAAUCAGUAAGUGUUAUAUCUGUUAUGUGCUGCUGAAUCCAGUUUGCUAAUAUUCUCUUUGGAUUAUUUGUAUCUGUGCUCAUAAAUUUGAGCAUUUUCCUACCCACUACUAUCCUUGAGAGUUUCUUGUAUCAAGCUAUGUAAAUCUUAUUUUUAAAAUUGCAUAUUUCUUUUUUUCUAUUGUUCUCCAAGCUUUUUCUCCCAAGCAUCAAACAAAUACUUAAAGCUUCUAAUAUUCAUCCAGAAAUGGUCCAUUCAUUUAGUCAGCUACCAAUAUUUUGUUUCCAACAAAGAAGUUUAACAGCAGAGAAAAUGUAGUCAAUUUCGGUUUUAAAAGACAGACUUUUAUUUUUUAAUUGCUGCACAUUAAAUUAUUUUAUUUUUGACCUAAAAUUUCAAAUAUACAUAGGAUAUUUUUGCUGGGGUUUCUGUUUAUAAUUUUGUUAGUAAUACAGUCAAUAGUUUUGAUCUCUAUACCUGGGUAUGUUUUGAUUUUUGUAAUUUUUACAAAUAGUAUUAAUUUUGAUCCUUGUAUACACACUAUUUUUUCUUCCUGAUGAAUUACUCUAGCCACUGAUUAAAUUUAUUUUCUAUGUUCUCCUCAUUGAUCAUCCCACUAUUUUCAAAUUUUUAUGUUGUUCUGAUUCUUAACGAGUUUAUUGUGUCAUCCGCAUCAUUAAUUUGAUGUAUUUUGAAAUUUUAAUUCCUCUCAUUAAACCUUCAUUGAAACUUUUAGUUCUGCUUUUAUUUUGUGUUUUAUGUUUAUCUCACCUGUUUCUUUGCACUUUUGAUACUGCUGUUUUUCCCGUUUUUUUCUGUCAUUAUCGAUGUCUGAUUCUCUUUGAUGACAUUUGUAACUUCUUUCAUUCCGCUGAAGAGAAAAACUUCUUGUAAAAAGUUAUUCUAAUUAAAAUACUAAAUCAGUUUUGCAGAGGGCAAUUCUCUGAAAUUUCAGGUUUAUAUCCAUUUCAGUUUCUCUUUACUGUCAUUUCUUUUAAAAAUUUUAUCUGUAAUAAACUUCUCCAAAGCUUAUGGUUUCUAAAAACAGGUAGGGCUGUGGCUUCACUCAAUCAUUUUGUCUUUAAACUUCUGUUCAGAUCUACACUAGAGGUUGGAUUAGAUGUUUACAUGUAAGUUCCAUCCACAAUGUCCUUCACUCACUGUUUGCAAUUUCUUUAUUAUGUAAGAAAUCUUUACUGCCUGCCCUGAUUAGAUUCAUGGGACUCUGCAGUAAUUUUCUAUUUUACAUAUUAUAUUCCUUCUACAUACAUUAAUUUUUUAUUUAAGAGCUUUAUUGGGAUAUAGUUGACAUGAAAUCAACUUUACAUAUAUGUAAAGGGUACAAUUUGAUAAGUUUGGACAUAUGUACACACCCAUAAAAUCACCACCAAAAUCAAGAUAAUGAGCAUCUACAUCACACCAAAAGUUUCACUGUGACCAUUUAUAUUUUCUCCUAACUUUACCCACGUUUCCAGGCAAAUUUUGAUCUGCUUUAAAUUGUCAAUUAGGAUGUCUUUUUCAAAAGUACUUCAUUUAAAUGAAAUCAUAUUACUCUCUUCUUUUACUCACAAUAAUUAUUUAGAGGUCUGUGAUAUUGUGUGUCAAUAGUGAUUUAUUGCCAUUGCUGAAUAGUAUUCACUUAUAAAUAUAACACCAUUGGUUCAUUCAUUCAUUUUUGAUAGAUAUUUGGACUGUUUCUAGAUUGGAGGUAUUUUGAAUGAAGCUGCUGUGAAUAUUCAUGAACAAUGUACAAGUUUUUGUAUGGACAUAUGCUUUCUUUUCCUUUGCUUGAAUGCCUAAGUGUGAAAUGGCUGGAUCACAUGGUACAUACAUGCCUAAUUUUUAAAGAAGCAAUCAAACCACUUUUGAAAUAGUAGUAAUAUUUCACAUAACCAACCAUAGUGUAUAAAACUGCAGAAGUUCCACAACAUUAGCAACACUUGGUGUCAUCAGUCUUGAACUUUGAACAUUCUAGUAAGUGUGUAGUGGUACAUUUGUAAAUUUUGCGUCUAAUAAAUUAUAUACUGUAAUUUAAUUUCUAUUUCCCUAAUGACUAAUGAGAUUAAGCAUCUUUUCAUGUGCUUAUUUGUCAUUUUUAUUUAUAUCUGAUUUAGUGAUGUCUCUGUUAACAUUUUGCCAAUCAUUUUAUCAGGUUAUUAUCAUACCUUUAAAGUAUUUUAUGGAAUCUGAAUACAAAAAUCUUUAUUAAACAUGUGACUUAAAAGUUGCUUCCUUAACUUUGUGGCUUGACUUUUCAUUCUCUUAAUGCUUUUCAAAAGGCAGGAGUUUUUAUUCUUAAAGAGUUUAAUAUAUAUGUACACAUAUAUAAGUACAUGUCUUUACACACACACAUAUAAGUAUGUAAUUUUUAAUUUUAUGGAUCAUGAUUUUUGGUGUCAUAAGUAGAAAUACUUAACUCAAAAAUUUCUUUUCUACAUUUUCUUCAAGUUUCAAAUUUUACAUUUAGGUACAGGAUCUCUUUUAAAAUAAUUUUUCUAUACAGUGUUAAACAUAGAUUGAAAUUGCUAGUUCAAUAUUUUAUUUUCAAACGUGUAUCUAAUUAUUCUAGCACAAUUUGUUGAUAAGAUUAUACUUUCUCCAAUUAAACGAGUUGACCAUAUAUGUGUGGCAAUAUUAUGGGAUGCUCCAUUCUGUUCCAUUGAUUGGUUAGUAUAACUUAAGGCCACUAUCAUUUUAUCUUGAUAACUGUGGCUUUAUAAUAAACCAUGGAAUGAAGUCAUUUUAGUUCUCCAACUUCAUUCUUCUUUUUCAAAGCUAUUUUAGCUAUUCUGGCUCUUUUACAUUUCCAUUUGAAUUUCAGAAUCAGUUUGUCAAUUCCUACAAAAUGUCUGCUGAGAUAUUGAUCAGAAUUGAACUACAUCAAUAGAUCUAUUGGGGGGACUUGACAUCUUAGCAAUAAUUAGACUUCUAACUCAUGAAUGUGGUAAAAGUCUCCAUUUAUUCGUUUUUUUACCUCAAUAUUUUGUAAUAUUCACAUAUGUUGUAAUAUUUAUACUUAAAUAUUUUGUUGUUGAUGUUAUUAAAAACCAUAUUAUUCUUUACAUUCUAUUCCUUUUUUAUUGCUAGUAUAUAAAAAUACAACUUGUCAACUUGUAUAUUAAUUUUUAUCUUGUAAUCUUGUUAAACUCAUUUAUAAGUUCUACAAGUUUUUGUAGAUUUUAUUGUAUUUCCACAUACAUGAUCAUGU